Molecule: ribosomal RNA, 515 nt
Filed under: uncultured bacterium
Lineage: Bacteria
Description: bacterial SSU rRNA
Rfam family: Bacterial small subunit ribosomal RNA
Source: RNAcentral
GAUUAUGGCUCAGGAUGAACGCUAGCUACAGGCUUAACACAUGCAAGUCGAGGGGCAGCGGGGACUGUGCUUGCACAGUUUGCCGGCGACCGGCGCACGGGUGAGUAACGCGUAUCCAACCUUCCCCUUAGUAGGGCAUAGCCCGUAGAAAUGCGGAUUAAUACCCUAUGUUCUUCGUCGAGGACAUCUGAAGUGAAGCAAAGAUUUAUCGCUAAGGGAUGGGGAUGCGUCUGAUUAGGCAGCAGGCGGGGUAACGGCCCACCUGGCCGACGAUCAGUAGGGGUUCUGAGAGGAAGGUCCCCCACAUUGGAACUGAGACACGGUCCAAGCUCCUACGGGAGGCAGCAGUGAGGAAUAUUGGUCAAUGGUCGAGAGACUGAACCAGCCAAGUAGCGUGCAAGGAUGACAGCCCUAUGGGUUGUAAACUGCUUUUAUGCGGGGAUAAAGUGCGGCACGUGUGCCGUUUUGUAGGUACCGCAUGAAUAAGGACCGGCUAAUUCCGUGCCAGCCGCCGC